CCGGGCUGUGAGUGUCUCCGCGUUCGUGCGCGGUCUCCACGUUGCUGUCCGCUGGGUUCCUGGGACGGGGACGGAGGAUCCCACGGGGGCUGUUAUUUGCAAAUGAAGAAAAAGACUGAAGCUUCAUAAAAGAAUAAUCGGAUCUUCCUCCUAGCAUUAUUUUUGAUCAGGGCCCUUAAACGGCUAAUACGGGCAAUGGCGAUGUUGGGAAGGACCUUAGAAGACCCACAUUUCACAGAUAAAGACCUUGAGGUCUAAAGAGAAAUAAUGACUCAUCCACACUGUGUGACAUCUUGGAUGACUUUACUUUCCUGGUCUCAGGGAAGACACUCAAGCCUAGGGAUGAAAUACAGAUUGAGAAGAUGUUUGAUCACUGCAGCCCAUUAACCCAAAUGAGAAAAGCUCUGCCUUCUCUAGGCAACCUCUGAGCCUGAGAUGCUGGCAAGGCUGGGAACUAUCAACAUCUCUGAAAGGAAUUGAUGAGUCUGAAUCGACUUAUUGGUCCGGAUUUUCCUCAGCCGAGGGAGCCUCU
Molecule: long non-coding RNA, 532 nt
Organism: Equus quagga
Lineage: Eukaryota; Metazoa; Chordata; Mammalia; Perissodactyla; Equidae
Exons: 4
Source: RefSeq, a predicted model, not a curated record